UUAAUUUAUGAGAAAGGCAUUAUUAUUAGGUUUAUAUAUACAAGUAAAAGUUGUAUGUAUGUGUUUGUGGAAUAACGAGUGACGACACCCAACCUUAAAUUGAUCCGUUGAAGUUAGUGAAAAUUCACAAGAAAUCAUUUUAGGAGUAAAAAAUAUUGCAGACCACAUUCGAAAUGAAGAAUUGGGUAAAGAAGAUCCGAGUCCGCCUUCUAGGGCUUUCUCUGUUGAAAUUGAAAGAGGCUUCCUACCUCCCUCCGCCCUAAAACGGUUUCUCUCUUUCCCCUUUCUGUCCUGCUCGAUCCGGUUUUAGGAUUUACAGAAUUUUCGUUUUUCCACAAACUUUAACACCGCUAUACAUUAGUAUAUUGAAAUUGUCACUAUUUCCUUCAGUCAGACAAUUGAGAUUUUGGAAGAAUUUAGUUUCAGAAACGGUAAAUGUGAGAUAAGAGGAUAUAAUUAGCAAACAAUUUGGGCGAGAGAAUGAAUGUACCAUCCAAAUCUCCCUUUUAAUAUUUAUGUUGAGUGGCUAGAUAGUAUUUGCAGGCUUGUAUCCUGUUAACUUCAAUAUUUUACAAAUCUAUUCGGUUGAUGUUUGCGUGAUUCCAUUGUAGUUGAGACUACAAAGAGAACGGAAGAUGCUAAGGUGCUACCAUGCUUCAGAAAAGAUGCAUCCACAAGUCUAGGCUGUCUUACCUAUUGUUUACUUCAAUUGUUGUAUCGAUGAACUUGAGGAUAUAAUUUGGAUAUCUUUGAAGCCUGCCAUGGUAGACAACUCCACCUCCUCCUGAAAUAGAGCACAUAAUUUGCUCACUACUUUUAUCUCCAAAAGAAGAUUAGUGCUAUCUGACCAAGACGAAAGAAAGAUUGUAUGAGUUAAUACAUUAUAGAAAUAUACAGAAAAUAUUCCAUUAGACCUUGUGAUGAAGAUAGAAUCGUAUAAUAUAUUAUAUCUUUAAUUAAUUA
Molecule: long non-coding RNA, 963 nt
Organism: Salvia miltiorrhiza (redroot sage)
Lineage: Eukaryota; Viridiplantae; Streptophyta; Magnoliopsida; Lamiales; Lamiaceae
Exons: 2
Source: RefSeq, a predicted model, not a curated record